Molecule: ribosomal RNA, 544 nt
Filed under: Pseudomonas mandelii
Lineage: Bacteria; Pseudomonadati; Pseudomonadota; Gammaproteobacteria; Pseudomonadales; Pseudomonadaceae
Description: bacterial SSU rRNA
Rfam family: Bacterial small subunit ribosomal RNA
Source: RNAcentral
UAGCGGCAGCACGGGUACUUGUACCUGGUGGCGAGCGGCGGACGGGUGAGUAAUGCCUAGGAAUCUGCCUGGUAGUGGGGGAUAACGCUCGGAAACGGACGCUAAUACCGCAUACGUCCUACGGGAGAAAGCAGGGGACCUUCGGGCCUUGCGCUAUCAGAUGAGCCUAGGUCGGAUUAGCUAGUUGGUGAGGUAAUGGCUCACCAAGGCGACGAUCCGUAACUGGUCUGAGAGGAUGAUCAGUCACACUGGAACUGAGACACGGUCCAGACUCCUACGGGAGGCAGCAGUGGGGAAUAUUGGACAAUGGGCGAAAGCCUGAUCCAGCCAUGCCGCGUGUGUGAAGAAGGUCUUCGGAUUGUAAAGCACUUUAAGUUGGGAGGAAGGGCAGUUACCUAAUACGUAUCUGUUUUGACGUUACCGACAGAAUAAGCACCGGCUAACUCUGUGCCAGCAGCCGCGGUAAUACAGAGGGUGCAAGCGUUAAUCGGAAUUACUGGGCGUAAAGCGCGCGUAGGUGGUUUGUUAAGUUGGAUGUGAAAUC